UGGAUCCGUGAGCCUAUUGAAUUUAGGAGA
This 30-nucleotide non-coding RNA is filed under the name Rattus norvegicus (Norway rat). Lineage: Eukaryota; Metazoa; Chordata; Mammalia; Rodentia; Muridae. The record is from RNAcentral.